AGAGGAAUAGCUGGGUCAAAUGGUCGUUCCAUUCCCAAUUUUCUAAGAAAUCUCCAUACUGCUUUCCUUAUUGGCUGCACCAGUUUGCAGUCCCACCAGCAAU
Molecule: microRNA precursor, 103 nt
Filed under: Marmota monax (woodchuck)
Lineage: Eukaryota; Metazoa; Chordata; Mammalia; Rodentia; Sciuridae
Source: RNAcentral